This 458-nucleotide ribosomal RNA is filed under the name uncultured bacterium. Its description in RNAcentral is "bacterial SSU rRNA". It matches the Rfam family "Bacterial small subunit ribosomal RNA", at positions 30 to 486 of the family's 1533-position model. The record is from RNAcentral.
AUUGAACGCUGGCGGUAUGCUUAACACAUGCAAGUCGAACGGUAGCAGGCCUUCGGGCGCUGACGAGUGGCGGACGGGUGAGUAACGCGUAGGAAUCUGCCUCAUAGUGGGGGACAACGUGGGGAAACUCACGCUAAUACCGCAUACGCCCUACGGGGAAAGCGGGGGAUCUUCGGACCUCGCGCUAUGAGAUGAGCCUGCGUUAGAUUAGCUAGUUGGUAGGGUAAAGGCCUACCAAGGCGACGAUCUAUAGCUGGUCUGAGAGGACGAUCAGCCACACUGGGACUGAGACACGGCCCAGACUCCUACGGGAGGCAGCAGUGGGGAAUAUUGGACAAUGGGCGCAAGCCUGAUCCAGCAAUACCGCGUGUGUGAAGAAGGACCUUAGGGUUGUAAAGCACUUUCAAUUGGGAGGAAAAACCUGUCGGUCAAUACCCGGCAGCUUGACAUUACCUUAG